RNAcentral lists this unclassified non-coding RNA (288 nucleotides) under Hevea brasiliensis (rubber tree). Lineage: Eukaryota; Viridiplantae; Streptophyta; Magnoliopsida; Malpighiales; Euphorbiaceae. The record is from RNAcentral.
CUAAAUUGUGCGCUUCUUUAUUCUUCUGAUCAAAUUCAGUAUUUACUACUUUUGAUGGCCACUCUUUUUGUUUCACUCGUUCUGCUGAUGCAUACGCUGUUUAUUUCAGUAGUUACUAUUUCUGUCUACUCCUGUAGGCCUUUCUUUAUAUGGUGCUUUUUAAGUUCAUUUCUAUUUGAUUAUUCGUAUUCCCUUGACUUAGAGGCUGUUAGUUUCGUGAUUAUGGGCUGAUUAGGAUAUUCGAAAUGUUGAAUGUUCACUGCUUUGUGGUUGCGGCAAUGAUAAUAU